GGGCUCCCAUGAUGCCAGCACUGGGCGCUGAGCCCCCUGAUGACAACCACAGUGCCCCCCAGGCUUUGACUCCUGGGGGUCUGAGGGGCCC
Small nucleolar RNA from Dromiciops gliroides (monito del monte), 91 nucleotides. Lineage: Eukaryota; Metazoa; Chordata; Mammalia; Microbiotheria; Microbiotheriidae. The record is from RefSeq and is a predicted model, not a curated record.